UACGGGGGAUGCAAGCGUUAUCCGGAAUGAUUGGGCGUAAAGCGUCCGCAGGUGGCAAUGUAAGUUCUGCUGUCAAAGCGUCUGGCUACAACCCAGAUAAAGGCAGUGGAAACUACAUAGCUAGAGUAAGGUAGGGGUAGAGGGAAUUCCUGGUGGUAGCGGUGAAAUGACGUAGAGAUCAGGAAGAACACCGGUGGCGAAAGCGCUCUGCUGGACCUUAACUGACACUGAGGGACGAAAGCUAGGGGAGCGAAUGGG
Molecule: ribosomal RNA, 258 nt
Filed under: uncultured bacterium
Lineage: Bacteria
Description: partial 16S ribosomal RNA
Rfam family: Bacterial small subunit ribosomal RNA
Source: RNAcentral